RNAcentral lists this ribosomal RNA (525 nucleotides) under Triticum aestivum (bread wheat). RNAcentral describes it as "partial small subunit ribosomal RNA". Lineage: Eukaryota; Viridiplantae; Streptophyta; Magnoliopsida; Poales; Poaceae. The record is from RNAcentral.
AUGUCGGAGGGUGUUAAUGACACUUCUAUUGUGUUAAUACCCAAAGUUCCGCACCCCAAGGAGCUAAAGGAUUUCCGUCCAAUAAGUUUAUGUAAUGUGGUAUACAAGAUUGUGUAUAAGUGCAUGGUGAAUAGGCUGCGGCCUAUGCUUACUGAACUUACCUCAGAAAACCAAAGCGCCUUUAUCCCAGGGAGACUUAUAUCUGAUAAUUCUAUCAUUGCCUUCGAGUGUAUACACCAUAUUCAAUUAGUGAAGGAGAACUCCCCGGCUUUGUGUGCUUAUAAACUGGAUCUCUCGAAGGCCAACGAUCAUGUGGAAUGGGAUUUUCUUCAAAAGGCCUUGACAAAGUGGGGUUUCUCGGACAUCUGGGUCUCGAGGGUGAUGGCUUGUGUUACGUCUGUCAGAUACUCAGUGAAGUUUAAUGGCAGGUUACUGGAAUCAUUUUCCUCCUCGAGAGGCUUGCGGCAAGGUGACCCCUGUCCCCCUUUCUGUUCUUAUUUGUGGCUGAUGCCCUUUCUGCCUUGA